This 394-nucleotide unclassified non-coding RNA is filed under the name soil metagenome. RNAcentral's name for it is "partial contains 5.8S ribosomal RNA, internal transcribed spacer 2, and large subunit ribosomal RNA". The stretch from base 1 to 120 matches the Rfam family "5.8S ribosomal RNA", at positions 35 to 154 of the family's 154-position model. The record is from RNAcentral.
GAUGAAGAACGUAGCGAAAUGCGAUAAGUAAUGUGAAUUGCAGAAUUCUGUGAAUCAUCGAAUCUUUGAACGCAUCUUGCGCUCCUUGGUAUUCUGAGGAGCAUGCCUGUUUGAGUGUCAUUUCAAGUUCUCAAACCGCAUCAAUUUCUGAUUGGUGUGGCUUGGAUGUUGGGGGUUUUUGCAGGCUUUCUUUCUUUAUAGGAGGAAAUCAGCUCCCCUGAAAUAGAUUAGUAGUAAUAUCUGAGGCUACUACAAAGGUGUGAUAAAUUAUCUAUGCCUUUUCAUAGUAUGGCCGACUGCUUCUAACGAACGAGUGGAAACACCUUUUUGACAAAUUUGACCUCAAAUCAGGUAGGACUACCCGCUGAACUUAAGCAUAUCAAUAAGCGGAGGA